This is a long non-coding RNA of Crotalus tigris (Tiger rattlesnake), 672 nucleotides long. RefSeq lists it as uncharacterized. The record is from RefSeq and is a predicted model, not a curated record. The transcript has 5 exons. Lineage: Eukaryota; Metazoa; Chordata; Lepidosauria; Squamata; Viperidae.
GAGAGAGAAACAUCUGAACUCUGAAACUUCCAAGUGGGAGGAGAAGUUCCUUAUUUUUGUUCUUGACACCUGUGCUGAAGUCUCCAGGUUUCAGCUUGUCAAGAGUUGUGGACUCAUGAAUCUGGAAUCAGUUCCAAUAGUUCCUUCAACUCUGAAAAACUUUGAUGGCCUUUUGAAUAUAGUGACCAACUAUCCAUUUUCUCAAUAUGACAUUUAGGACUCAUCCCUCAUGCUUUUCUUCAUGAAUAUGAAUCAGAUGUUUGAAUGCUGCCAAGUUGGUUUUUCACCAGCAGCCCUGGCCUCCAUCAAAUGCUGCUUUAAUGACAAGGUCCUGGAGGAUCAUUUUUGACACUUAUACUGAUAUUGAGAAUAAUCCUCAGGAAGAUCUGCAUAUUGAGAAUAAUCCUCAGGAAGAUCUGCAUAUUGAGAAUAAUCCUCAGGAAGAGGGCUGCAAUAUAAAGAGAACAAAUGAAGACUAAUGAAGCCUUUUCCUGACACACCUGUACAACAACAAAGAAGGGAUUGAUCCUAGACACAAAAUAUCCAAAAUGAAUUUGAAGGCACUAUUGGCAAACAUGGGAGAAAAAUAGGUCAUAAUUAGUCCCAGUGCUAUACAAGUUAUAGGGGUGUCAAACUCAAUUUCAUUGAGGGCCACUUUAGCAUUGUGGUUGU